RNAcentral lists this ribosomal RNA (480 nucleotides) under uncultured bacterium. RNAcentral describes it as "partial 16S ribosomal RNA". It matches the Rfam family "Bacterial small subunit ribosomal RNA", at positions 29 to 523 of the family's 1533-position model. The record is from RNAcentral.
AAUGAACGUUGGCGGCGUGGAUUAGGCAUGCAAGUCGAGCGCGAACCCCGCAAGGGGUGAAAGCGGCGAAAGGGAGAGUAACGCGUGGGUAUUUACCCUCGGGACUGGGAUAGCUGCGGGAAACUGCAGGUAAUACCAGAUGACGUCCCCGGACCAAAGGUGUGAUUCCGCCUGAGGAUAAGCCCGCGUCCUAUUAGCUAGUUGGUGAGGUAAUGGCUCACCAAGGCAAUGAUGGGUACUGGGUGUGAGAGCACGACCCAGCUCACUGGGACUGAGACACUGCCCAGACACCUACGGGUGGCUGCAGUCGAGAAUCUUCGGCAAUGGGCGCAAGCCUGACCGAGCGACGCCGCGUGUGGGAUGAAGGCCUUCGGGUUGUAAACCGCUGUCAGAGGGGAGGAAUGGGCGGAGGGUAAUCUCUUCGUUUUGACCUAUCCUCAGAGGAAGUACGGGCUAAGUUCGUGCCAGCCGCCGCGGUAA